This 253-nucleotide ribosomal RNA is filed under the name uncultured bacterium. RNAcentral describes it as "partial 16S ribosomal RNA". It matches the Rfam family "Bacterial small subunit ribosomal RNA", at positions 524 to 776 of the family's 1533-position model. The record is from RNAcentral.
UACGAAGGGGGCUAGCGUUGUUCGGAAUUACUGGGCGUAAAGCGCACGUAGGCGGAUCAUUUAGUCAGGGGUGAAAUCCCGGGGCUCAACCUCGGAACUGCCUUUGAUACUGAUGGUCUCGAGUCCGAUAGAGGUGAGUGGAAUUCCUAGUGUAGAGGUGAAAUUCGUAGAUAUUAGGAAGAACACCAGUGGCGAAGGCGGCUCACUGGAUCGGUACUGACGCUGAGACGCGAAAGCGUGGGGAGCAAACAGG